UACGAAGGGUGCAAACGUUGCUCGGAAUCAUUGGGCGUAAAGCGCACGUAGGCGGCUUCGCAAGUCGGAUGUGAAAUCCCUCGGCUCAACCGGGGAACUGCGUCUGAGACUGGAAGGCUUGAAUUCGGGAGAGGGAUGUGGAAUUCCAGGUGUAGCGGUGAAAUGCGUAGAUAUCUGGAGGAACACCGGUGGCGAAGGCGGCAUCCUGGACCAAUACUGACACUGAGGAGCGAAAGCCAGGGGAGCAAACGGG
RNAcentral lists this ribosomal RNA (253 nucleotides) under uncultured bacterium. Its description in RNAcentral is "partial 16S ribosomal RNA". It matches the Rfam family "Bacterial small subunit ribosomal RNA", at positions 524 to 776 of the family's 1533-position model. The record is from RNAcentral.